ACUACCGUACCAUGGCCACAACCACCUUAACCACUACCAACUUACCACUGCAGCUGUAAAACCAACAUCACGGCACCCACAACACCAUCAACCCAACACAAUACAACCACCAUUAACACUAAAACCACCACUAGAUUUCCCCAAUACAGCGGAGAAGAUACUUCUACAUAGCAGCUCCUACUAACUCUAAGCAGAUAAGAUCGGAGAAGAACGAAAUCACCCUAAAAACCCCAAACUCCUUCUCAAAUUUUCUCUGCUAUCGGCGGCCGAAAAUCCCCCAACCUCUCUCCAAAUUUUUUUGCAACAACGAUGAGUGCACCAUCGGGUAAAACUACUUCAAUCAAAAUCACCCCUAAAAACCCAAACUCGGCGAUUGAAAAUCCCCUAACCAAUCCCUAAAUUUUUUUGCGAGCCGGGCAAUGUUGCUACAAACUUGCAGCAGCUUCAGUGCUGUCAUUGAAGGUAACUGUGAACGAGAUAGAAAGUUGCAGUGACGAUAGCGGCAAUGCGGUGCCACUCGGUGACGUCUUCCGAUGGAGCCUUCUUGUCUUUCGAUGAGAUCGUUAAAUGAGGGAGAAAAAUGGAUAG
RNAcentral lists this long non-coding RNA (588 nucleotides) under Olea europaea (common olive). RNAcentral describes it as "long non-coding RNA (OEUR_LNC015135)". The record is from RNAcentral. Lineage: Eukaryota; Viridiplantae; Streptophyta; Magnoliopsida; Lamiales; Oleaceae.